RNAcentral lists this ribosomal RNA (142 nucleotides) under uncultured Alphaproteobacteria bacterium. RNAcentral describes it as "partial 16S ribosomal RNA". It matches the Rfam family "Bacterial small subunit ribosomal RNA", at positions 537 to 678 of the family's 1533-position model. Lineage: Bacteria; Pseudomonadati; Pseudomonadota; Alphaproteobacteria. The record is from RNAcentral.
AGCGUUGCUCGGAAUCACUGGGCGUAAAGCGCACGUAGGCGGAUUGCUAAGUCAGGGGUGAAAUCCUGGAGCUCAACUCCAGAACUGCCUUUGAUACUGGCGAUCUUGAGUCCGGGAGAGGUGAGUGGAACUGCGAGUGUAG